Papaver somniferum (opium poppy) is the source of this 559-nucleotide long non-coding RNA. RefSeq lists it as uncharacterized. The transcript is spliced from 2 exons. NCBI's taxonomy places the organism in Eukaryota, Viridiplantae, Streptophyta, Magnoliopsida, Ranunculales, Papaveraceae. The record is from RefSeq and is a predicted model, not a curated record.
AUCCAUAUCUAAAUCAUUCAUACAAAAAGCAAGAGUCAUAGUAUCAAACUGCAAGAAGAAGUUCUAUCGAAAAUAAACAGAAAUCAUGGCCAAGAUGAGUAUGUUCUUUUGCUUCUUCUUAUUCGUCUUGAUUGCCGUGCCUGCAGCCUCUUCUGCGAGCAGUAGGAUGCUACUCCAAUCGAAUAGAUGCCCUAUAGUACCUAGGUCGUCACGGUCAUCGCUAUGCGGAAGAGUUGUGUGCGUACGACAAGUUUUUUGCACACUCAAUGUGCUAAUCUGCCCAGACGGCCAGUAUGCUUUCAAGCCAUGCUGCGGCUGCGAAAGAUGUUGUCCUCUUUAAAUUACCUAAUCGGGUACAGAUUGUACUACGUUUUUACUGUACCUUGAUAAUUAUUGUGUGUGAAUGGUUUUUACUGUAAUAAUUGUUGUGUGUGUGGAUGGUGUUGUGUUUACAUUUUCCCUUCUAAUUUGAUGUAGUUUAAUAUGUCAUAUGUUCAUGUACCCGUGUUUUUAGUUUCUCCACCAUAAAUUUGAAGUGGCUUGCCUGAGUUAUUAUGCA